This 468-nucleotide ribosomal RNA is filed under the name uncultured bacterium. Its description in RNAcentral is "partial 16S ribosomal RNA". It matches the Rfam family "Bacterial small subunit ribosomal RNA", at positions 28 to 507 of the family's 1533-position model. The record is from RNAcentral.
GACGAACGCUGGCGGCGUGCUUAACACAUGCAAGUCGAACGGAAAGGCCCUGCUUUUGUGGGGUGCUCGAGUGGCGAACGGGCGAGUAACACGUGAGUAACCUGCCCUUGACUUUGGGAUAACUUCAGGAAACUGGGGCUAAUACCGGAUAGGAGCUCCUGCUGCAUGGUGGGGGUUGGAAAGUUUCGGCGGUUGGGGAUGGACUCGCGGCUUAUCAGCUUGUUGGUGGGGUAGUGGCUUACCAAGGCUUUGACGGGUAGCCGGCCUGAGAGGGUGACCGGCCACAUUGGGACUGAGAUACGGCCCAGACUCCUACGGGAGGCAGCAGUGGGGAAUAUUGCACAAUGGGCGGAAGCCUGAUGCAGCAACGCCGCGUGCGGGAUGACGGCCUUCGGGUUGUAAACCGCUUUCGCCUGUGACGAAGCGUGAGUGGCGGUAAUGGGUAAAGAAGCACCGGCUAACUACGUG